RNAcentral lists this ribosomal RNA (377 nucleotides) under uncultured Bacillota bacterium. Its description in RNAcentral is "bacterial SSU rRNA". It matches the Rfam family "Bacterial small subunit ribosomal RNA", at positions 521 to 896 of the family's 1533-position model. Lineage: Bacteria; Bacillati; Bacillota. The record is from RNAcentral.
UAAUACGUAGGGGGCGAGCGUUGUCCGGAUUCACUGGGCGUAAAGCGCGCGUAGGCGGAGUUGCGUGUCCGGCCUGAAAGCCCCCGGCUCAACCGGGGAGGGCGGCCGGAAACUGCAAUUCUUGAGGGCGAUAGGGGAGAGCGGAAUUCCUGGUGUAGCGGUGAAAUGCGUAGAUAUCAGGAGGAACACCGGUGGCGAAGGCGGCUCUCUGGGUCGGCCCUGACGCUGAGGCGCGAAAGCGUGGGUAGCGAACGGGAUUAGAUACCCCGGUAGUCCACGCCGUAAACGAUGGUCACUAGGUGUGUGAGGUAUCGACCCCGCACGUGCCGUAGCUAACGCGAUAAGUGACCCGCCUGGGGAGUACGACCGCAAGGUUG